AUUGAACGCUGGCGGCAUGCCUUACACAUGCAAGUCGAACGGCAGCACGGGUGCUUGCCCCUGGUGGCGAGUGGCGAACGGGUGAGUAAUACAUCGGAACAUGUCCUGUAGUGGGGGAUAGCCCGGCGAAAGCCGGAUUAAUACCGCAUACGAUCUACGGAUGAAAGCGGGGGACCUUCGGGCCUCGCGCUAUAGGGUUGGCCGAUGGCUGAUUAGCUAGUUGGUGGGGUAAGGGCCUACCAAGGCGACGAUCAGUAGCUGGUCUGAGAGGACGACCAGCCACACUGGGACUGAGACACGGCCCAGACUCCUACGGGAGGCAGCAGUGGGGAAUUUUGGACAAUGGGCGAAAGCCUGAUCCAGCAAUGCCGCGUGUGUGAAGAAGGCCUUCGGGUUGUAAAGCACUUUUGUCCGGAAAGAAAACCUUGGCCCUAAUACGGUCGGGGGAUGACGGUACCGGAAGAAUAAGCACCGGCUAACUACGUG
RNAcentral lists this ribosomal RNA (486 nucleotides) under uncultured bacterium. Its description in RNAcentral is "partial 16S ribosomal RNA". It matches the Rfam family "Bacterial small subunit ribosomal RNA", at positions 30 to 507 of the family's 1533-position model. The record is from RNAcentral.